Molecule: small nucleolar RNA, 107 nt
Filed under: Gossypium hirsutum (cotton)
Lineage: Eukaryota; Viridiplantae; Streptophyta; Magnoliopsida; Malvales; Malvaceae
Description: Plant small nucleolar RNA R71
Rfam family: Plant small nucleolar RNA R71
About the family: R71 is a member of the C/D box family of snoRNAs containing the C (UGAUGA) and D (CUGA) box motifs. Multiple nearly identical copies of this snoRNA have been identified in Arabidopsis, and it is thought to function as a 2'-O-ribose methylation guide for 18S ribosomal RNA.
Source: Rfam by way of RNAcentral
AACCCAUGGUAAGGGCACCUUCUCAAUAGGUCUUUGUAUCUCUCCCAUGCACUAGAGAGUGUCUCUAGAUCCAUCUGUACAAAAGAAGAGAUAUCGUUCCUCAAUUU